This is a long non-coding RNA of Homo sapiens (human), 3879 nucleotides long. RefSeq lists it as uncharacterized. NCBI's taxonomy places the organism in Eukaryota, Metazoa, Chordata, Mammalia, Primates, Hominidae. The transcript is spliced from 3 exons. The record is from RefSeq and is a predicted model, not a curated record.
AUUCAGGGAGCACCAAGAAGCAGACCAGAGGUCUCCUAAGCUUGACUCCUCUUCGGCAUGAGACUAAGGAAGCUCCCCAAGUUCCAGUCAGAGGUCUGAAUUUGUGAAUUUGCUGAGGCUGAUAGGACAGUGUGGGCUGUCCCUGAAAGUUGGAGGAGGUGACAACAAGGUUGGGGGCCUUCCAUAUGGGUGCCUGCUGUACCACAUAUCCAGUAAAAACAGAACAUUUACGAAUGCUGGAAAAAGGUCUCGUUUGUAAUGAGCAGUGGAGUGUGACAGCCUCUGACUGUUUCUUUGACCAUAUAUAGGAAUGAUCACCGUGAUAAUAACAGCAGUGACAACAAUCCCCGGAUAUUGGGCUUUUCAUUUCCAAGAGAGAGUAAGUAUUAACUAAACAGCUUCGAAACCCCCAUGAAGUGUUUAUUAUACCCGAAUCCCCAUUUCACCAACAGUAAGGAGGAUAUUUUAGAAGCCUUUUUUUUUUUUUUUUUGAGUCAGAGUCUCGCUCUGUUGCUCAGGCUGGAGUGCAGUGGGCGAUCUCGGCUCACUACAAGCUCCGCCUCCCAGGUUCACGCCAUUCUCCUGCCUCAGCCUCCCGAGUACCUGGGACUACAGGCGCCUGCCACCAUGCCCAUCUAAAUUUUUUUGUAUUUUUAGUAGAGACAGGAUUUCAUCGUGUUAGCCAGGAUGGUCUCGAUCUCUUGACCUCGUGAUCCGCCUGCCUCGGCCUCCCAAAGUGCUGGGAUUACAGGCGUGAGCCACCGCGCCUGGCCUAGAAGCUUUAAGCCACGUACUUUUCAAGCUUUAUCUGAGGCUGGCACUUGGAUGACUUCAAUGAUGUUCUUUCCCCACAAGGAGGUGAGCAGGAGUGAGGAUAAAGACAUGGAGAGAUAAUGCAGACGACCACGUUCUCUUGGCCAUACUGAACUGAUGUCCGAGAGCAGGCCUUGGCAAACUUCCUCUGGGAAGGGCCACAGUAAAUAUUUUAGGCCUUCCAUUCCAUAUGGUCUCACUGCGCUUCAACUCUGCCAUUGUAAGCUUGAAAGCGGCCAUAGAUAAAAGUAAAUGAAUGAGUAUGGCUGAGUUCCAAUAAAACUUUAUUUAUGGACACUGAAAUUUGAAUUUCAUGCUGUUUUUCACAUGUCACAAAAUAGUCUUCUUUCAUUUUCUCCCAACCAUUUAAAUGUGUAAAAACCAUUUUUGUCUCGCAGGCUGGAUGUGGCCUAUGGGCCAUAGUUUGCCUGCCCUGCCCCAGAGAACAGAAUUAACCACCAGUAGCAUCAGAGGCUAACACUGUUCAAGGGUUUUGCCCUCUUUAGAGCUCAAACAGCAGGGAUAAUUUCCACCUUGAGAGACAUCUCUCCAGAGCUCUUCUGCAAAAACUGUUCUUAUUUUACAAACAUGAAAACAUUGAAAAUCAAAAUUAAAUGGAAAAAUUCAUCUCCAACAGCAUCUCUUCCCAAUCAGUCUUCAAAUUUCAUUUCAAUCUUUGUCCAUAUGCAUGACAUUUUUAUACCAUUUUAAUCCUAUUAUAGACACAGUGUUUUAGUUUGCUUUUUUUCACUUAACGUUAUCUUGUAAAAUUCUUCCCUGUUGUGACUGAUUUCUUCUAAUCAGACAUAUCAUAAUUUUUUGUGGAAUUUUUUUGUGGAAGAUUUCCAUGCUAUUUGUUGGACUUAAUUAAAAGGGAUGUCUUAGUGUCUUCUCAAGUGUAACAGUUAAGAUGCAAAUGCUACCACCUUGCCCUCAAGCCAGGAAACCUGGGAAAACCCACUUGGUAGACUGGAGCCUCACACACCUCCCCCAGGAUUCACUUCCUUUUGGACAAUGGCUUUAGCAAAUCUGGCAUUUUAAUUCAUUUGCCUCUUGAUGUGCCUUCCAGACAAACUCUUUAGAGCUCUUUGCUCUGAAAGAGCUCUCUGUUCCACAUACACCCUAGAAUUUAUGUUGAACUUGGAUGGAGGUUUGGGGAGACUAAUCACACAUCUCCUUUCAUUACAGUUUUUAACCAGGAAAUACAGAAAGAGUUAGAUGAGGAUCAGUUUUCUUGCUGGAUUAGAGAACUUGGUAGGUCCCCAUUAGUCCCUUGCCUCACACCUGCUGAGACCCUCUGGAUGGUGACUGACUCAUCCAGUCACAUGUGGAGAAAGAAGAGGUUGGGUUUGCCCCUUCACUGUUCCAUGGGCUGGGCCUCUGGAGAGGGAGAGGUGAGGGACAUACUUUAAGUUGGUUCCUUUCUUUCCUCUCCACAAAGGGGGGUGACACUGUUUGAGGGACCACAGGGCUCACCUUCCCUUCCUUUCUCUUUGCUUUCAGAAUAGGAAGCACAUGCAUUUGGCCAGGAAGAAGACUUCAGCUAUUGAUGGGAGGGCCCUCUUUCUAGAAGGCAGAGAACAAUGGACUAGCCAGACAGGAAGGAGAGAGGCCCAGAGCGCAGUAAGGAGUGGGCAUCUGGGACCCAGGGUUGGGAAGAACACUUCUGUUUGGCUUCCUUCCUCUUCUAGGGCAUGGCUAAGGUGGCCAACCUGCAUGCACCCCAGAAGAGGAAGAUAAGUAGGCCCAUGGGACUUUAUUAUGGAGCCUGAGGCUUUCACUGGCCUGAUUAAUCCAUUUUCUGGGAAUGAGCACUUUGGGAGGAUAACAAUCAAAGGAUCCCCAGAGGACACGUGACAGGCUGGGGCCAUCAGAACUACUGAUCCGUGGGUACUAUCCGGCUUACUGAAUUAUGAAACACAGGUUAAAUUAAGGGUUGUCACACAUUUGGCUAAUUGGCCAAUAAGAACAGCAAUUAAUAGAGGUCAGGCAAUUCAACUGCAUCUGUGGCCAUGACUAUCAGAGCCCUUGGAAACAGCAGUGAUUUCAAGUGAAAUCUAAAUCAGCAGUGUUUCAGGUGACCUAGAGCAGGGCCCACGGCCCAUAGCCCAUAUGUUAGCACUUCCUGAAGGUUUUCUUCCACCCAAAUCCACAUGUUGGGACCCAGGGGAAGGUGUAGCAAAGCCAGUGACCACUGUGUAAUCUUUGUUUUUUCUAUUUGACACUUUGUCAAAAAACACAUUCCUGUUUUCAUAGACUUCUUUUGAUUUUGAGAAAUUUAAAAGAUACAGAAAAGUAUGAAGAAUGUAAAGACACUAUAUUCCCACCACUAGACAUAAGAACUAGUAAUAUUUUGUACCAUCUCCUGCUAGCCUCUGCCCUCCUUCUAAGAAAUGAAACUACCACCCAUUUCUCAUUCCCCAUCCCCGGGCACAGCAAUGUUCAUGGGUUUGGUCGGUUUGUAUGUUUGGUAUCAUUUUAGAUACUUUGAUAUUCAUCUUAUAUCGAUAUAACAAAUAUACUACACUUUUAUGUGUAUAUGAAUAUUUAAAUAUAUAACAGAUAAAAACACAUGCCAUUUGUAAAUAUGCCAUGUAAAAACUGAUGGUGCUUAAUAAAUAUUUGUUGAAUGUCCAUCUAUAAACAAUGUAUUUGUGUGUUUUUAAUGUACAUGGUAUCAUACAAUUUUUAUCAUUCUGCAUAAUCCUCUCUUCACUUAAUAAUUGUAUUUGAAAUCUAUAAUUGUGACUCUUUCUCUCUAUAUAUGUAUAUAUAUACACACACAUAUAUAUGUAUAUAUAUACACACACAUAUAUGUGUAUAUAUAUACACACACAUAUAUGUAUAUAUAUACACACAUAUAUAUGUAUAUAUACACACACAUAUAUAUGUAUGUGUAUAUACACAUGUGUAUAUAUAUAUCUAUAUGCUUGGUUUAUGUCUCUUAACUGCUGCAUAAUAUUGCACUGUAUGAAUAUGGAGGAUUUUAAUUAUUCAUUUCUCCAUGGGUGGAUACUUAGUUUUCUUCCAGUUUUUUGGCUGUUGAAUAAAGAAUGCUGCAGUGAA